UUCGGCCAUACCAUGCUGAAAACAGCGGAUCUCGUCCGAACACCGAAGUUAAGCAUCAACGGGCUCGGUCAGUACUUGGGAGGGUGCCCACCUGGGAACACCGCGUGCCGUAGG
Nephila pilipes (giant wood spider) is the source of this 114-nucleotide non-coding RNA. The record is from the annotation of a GenBank genome assembly. NCBI's taxonomy places the organism in Eukaryota, Metazoa, Arthropoda, Arachnida, Araneae, Nephilidae.